GGAAAAAUAAGUGAAGGAAACUGUACAGCCGGAAAAGCCAUAGGAUGAUACGAUGCUUGAUCUCAAUUCAUCUAAUCUAUAUAAUAGAGAUAUAAGCACAUAGGUCACUUCAAAUUUGGACGUAGGUGACUUAGAAGAAAAAGGGAAUUUUAUAGCGGUAUGAAACAAAAGAAAAAAGUUGAGUUUCAGCGCCGUGAUUCUGAAAUGAGCAGCAAUCUAUUGAUGCAUGUCAGUCGCCGAAAAAGAUCGCACGCGCAGACUACAAAAUGUAUUACACAGGGCUGCUAUUUCUUGCUGCUGGACCGCUGAUGGAGUCUUGAAUAUCGCCAGUGGUGGCGCUUUGUGUAGCAGAGAGUUGAAGAUUCAGUAUAUAGCUCUUCUGGAUGCACCUUUGCAGUAAUGUGGCCCGGUUGCGUGUCGUGAAAGUGGAUUGACGGAUGAGACUCUCCUUUAUCAACAAAACAUUUAGGACAUGUUUUCAUGCAGUUCGAAAAAUGCUAUAAAUGAGUUAGGAACGUAAUGGUAGUACUUUUAAUUUAUUUAAUGUAAUGUUAAAGUAAUGACAAGAUUUUAUAUAUAUUCUAUUUGUUGAAAAAAAUGAUAAUUUAUUAUUGUUGUUAAGAAUUGGAGAUUGUAAAUUGUUGUUUUUAAAUAAAUAAAAAGUUAAGUUAAUUGAUUA
Molecule: long non-coding RNA, 679 nt
Organism: Zeugodacus cucurbitae (melon fly)
Lineage: Eukaryota; Metazoa; Arthropoda; Insecta; Diptera; Tephritidae
Exons: 3
Source: RefSeq, a predicted model, not a curated record